GACGAACGCUGGCGGCGUGCUUAACACAUGCAAGUCGAACGGAAAGGCCCUGCUUUUGUGGGGUGCUCGAGUGGCGAACGGGUGAGUAACACGUGAGUAACCUGCCCUUGACUUUGGGAUAACUUCAGGAAACUGGGGCUAAUACCGGAUAGGAGCUCCUGCUGCAUGGUGGGGGUUGGAAAGUUUCGGCGGUUGGGGAUGGACUCGCGGCUUAUCAGCUUGUUGGUGGGGUAGUGGCUUACCAAGGCUUUGACGGGUAGCCGGCCUGAGAGGGUGACCGGCCACAUUGUGACUGAGAUACGGCCCAGACGCCUUCGGGAGGCAGCAGUGGGGAAUAUUGCACAAUGGGCGGAAUCCGGAUGCAGCAACGCCGCGUGCGGGAUGACUGCUUUCGGGUUGUAAACCGCUUUCGCCUGUGACGAAGCGUGAGUGACGGUAAUGGGUAAAGAAGCACCGGCUAACUACGU
RNAcentral lists this ribosomal RNA (467 nucleotides) under uncultured bacterium. Its description in RNAcentral is "partial 16S ribosomal RNA". It matches the Rfam family "Bacterial small subunit ribosomal RNA", at positions 28 to 506 of the family's 1533-position model. The record is from RNAcentral.